This is a non-coding RNA of Elaeis guineensis (African oil palm), 1283 nucleotides long. The record is from RefSeq and is a predicted model, not a curated record. NCBI's taxonomy places the organism in Eukaryota, Viridiplantae, Streptophyta, Magnoliopsida, Arecales, Arecaceae.
AUUGAGAGCUGCGCUAGGCGCCAUCCAACAGUCGCCGUCGCUUAAGUCGUAGUUUGCCAACAAAGCGAAACAAAAGCAAAGGUUGCCCGCCCGGCCGGCCCGCAUUUUUCCAACCUCGGCCACUCGCCCGUUGCGCGUCUCCAGCGUCAAACCCACCGCUUCUCCACUCUCCCACGAGAUGCCAAGAACCCGAGAAGUCUUCCAACAUGGACGCCACCUCCGUUCUCCUCCGCCGGAGCCCGGUCCCCGCCGCGCCUUGCUCUCUCCGGCGGUCCUUGUCCAAAGCGGUACAGGGGCUUCGGCCAAGAUCUCGAGCUGUAGCGGCGGUCGCGGUGUACUUGCCCACUCCUGCGGAUGGAGAGUCUCGGAUUGCUCACAGUGGAUAGUUUUUUUCUUUCUUUUUGCCCUUUCUGAAUGCUUUCUAUCUACGUCGGUGCAGAUGAAUUAGGGAAUCUUUUUUGCCUGCUCUUCACAUGUCACAUCGGAUUGAUCUUUAUUCACAGAUUUUCUUGAAAUAUUAGUGCGUGCGUGUGUGUAUAAUGUUGCUUUCGUAUGUGGCAGACUGGUCUUCUGCCAAGAACACCUCUGUUUCUUGACGUUCCUCCCCCAUUAGAAGAAAAUGCUGGACGAGGCAUUGCACAGACCUUGGUUUACUAGGUUUGGAGCUUGGUGUGGAUGAUAAUAUAUAUGCCGAUUCACAAAGGAAUCCAAAAACUUUUUUUGGAAAUUUAAAAAUUUCUUGGAUGAGCAGGGAAGAAAAGGUUGUCAACUGGUUCCAGAUUUCUAUAAUGAAUUAUCUGGCACUUCAUGGGUGGGCAUGAGCUAAUAUUGGGGAACACCUUCAUAGCUGGAAAAAAUCCAGCUCCUUCAGAUACCGAGGUUCCUCCUCAGUUAGCUCGUGAUGCUUACAUAUUAAGAUAAAUAUGCUGCUCUAUGAGCUGGAUUCAAGCAUUUUAAUUGGGGGAGGGAUUUACUGUGCUGAAUUGCUUAAAAUGCUAAAGCUCUAAUCAAUAUCUGUACUAAGGGUUACUUGACGAUGUUUGAUGCAAGAUGGAGUUGGGCCAAGUGGUGAGCUAUCCUUGGAAUCCAAUGGCGUUUAUACAUGCAACACUGGCUAUCUGAACUUUUCAGAUUUUGAUAUAAAUAAAAAGGAUAAAAUUUUUGGAAAUUCUUUGAACUGUGUUUUGUACCAGCCAGAGGAGGUCUUUCCAGUAAAUAGUGGAUUCUUGCUGACAAUUAUUACUUUGCACUCACAAAGAAAUAGAGGUGAUAUUUAUGGAUCU